GACGAACGCUGGCGGCGUGCCUAAUACAUGCAGGUCGAACGAACUCUGGUAUUGAUUGGUGCUUGCAUCAUGAUUUACAUUUGAGUGAGUGGCGAACUGGUGAGUAACACGUGGGAAACCUGCCCAGAAGCGGGGGAUAACACCUGGAAACAGAUGCUAAUACCGCAUAACAACUUGGACCGCAUGGUCCGAGCUUGAAAGAUGGCUUCGGCUAUCACUUUUGGAUGGUCCCGCGGCGUAUUAGCCAGAUGGUGGGGUAACGGCUCACCAUGGCAAUGAUACGUAGCCGACCUGAGAGGGUAAUCGGCCACAUUGGGACUGAGACACGGCCCAAACUCCUACGGGAGGCAGCAGUAGGGAAUCUUCCACAAUGGACGAAAGUCUGAUGGAGCAACGCCGCGUGAGUGAAGAAGGGUUUCGGCUCGUAAAACUCUGUUGUUAAAGAAGAACAUAUCUGAGAGUAACUGUUCAGGUAUUGACGGUAUUUAACCAGAAAGCCACGGCUAACUACGUGCCAGCAGCCGCGGUAAUACGUAGGUGGCAAGCGUUGUCCGGAUUUAUUGGGCGUAAAGCGAGCGCAGGCGGUUUUUUAAGUCUGAUGUGAAAGCCUUCGGCUCAACCGAAGAAGUGCAUCGGAAACUGGGAAACUUGAGUGCAGAAGAGGACAGUGGAACUCCAUGUGUAGCGGUGAAAUGCGUAGAUAUAUGGAAGAACACCAGUGGCGAAGGCGGCUGUCUGGUCUGUAACUGACGCUGAGGCUCGAAAGUAUGGGUAGCAAACAGGAUUAGAUACCCUGGUAGUCCAUACCGUAAACGAUGAAUGCUAAAGGGUUGGAGGGUUCCGCCCUUCAGUGCUGCAGCUAACGCAUUAAGCAUUCCGCCUGGGGAGUACGGCCGCAAGGUGGAAACUCAAAGGAAUUGACGGGGGCCCGCACAAGCGGUGGAGCAUGUGGUUUAAUUCGAAGCUACGCGACGAACCUUACCAGGUCUUGACAUACUAUGCAAAUCUAAGAGAUUAGACGUUCCCUUCGGGGACAUGGAUACAGGUGGUGCAUGGUUGUCGUCAGCUCGUGUCGUGAGAUGUUGGGUUAAGUCCCGCAACGAGCGCAACCCUUAUUAUCAGUUGCCAGCAUUAAGUUGGGCACUCUGGUGAGACUGCCGGUGACAAACCGGAGGAAGGUGGGGAUGACGUCAAAUCAUCAUGCCCCUUAUGACCUGGGCUACACACGUGCUACAAUGGAUGGUACAACGAGUUGCGAACUCGCGAGAGUAAGCUAAUCUCUUAAAGCCAUCCUCAGUUCGGAUUGUAGGCUGCAACUCGCCUACAUGAAGUCGGAAUCGCUAGUAAUCGCGGAUCAGCAUGCCGCGGUGAAUACGUCCCCGGGCCUUGUACACACCGCCCGUCACACCAUGAGAGUUUGUAACACCCAAAGUCGGUGGGGUAACCUUUUAGGAACCAGCCGCCUAAGGUGGGACAGAUGAUUAGGGUG
RNAcentral lists this ribosomal RNA (1489 nucleotides) under Lactiplantibacillus plantarum. Its description in RNAcentral is "bacterial SSU rRNA". It matches the Rfam family "Bacterial small subunit ribosomal RNA". The record is from RNAcentral. Lineage: Bacteria; Bacillati; Bacillota; Bacilli; Lactobacillales; Lactobacillaceae.